GAUGAACGCUGGCGGCGUGCCUAAUACAUGCAAGUCGAGCGAACGGACGAGAAGCUUGCUUCUCUGAUGUUAGCGGCGGACGGGUGAGUAACACGUGGAUAACCUACCUAUAAGACUGGGAUAACUUCGGGAAACCGGAGCUAAUGCCGGAUAAUAUUUUGAACCGCAUGGUUCAAAAGUGAAAGACGGUCUUGCUGUCACUUAUAGAUGGAUCCGCGCUGCAUUAGCUAGUUGGUAAGGUAACGGCUUACCAAGGCAACGAUGCAUAGCCGACCUGAGAGGGUGAUCGGCCACACUGGAACUGAGACACGGUCCAGACUCCUACGGGAGGCAGCAGUAGGGAAUCCUCCGCAAUGGGCGAAAGCCUGACGGAGCAACGCCGCGUGAGUGAUGAAGGUCUUCGGAUCGUAAAACUCUGUUAUUAGGGAAGAACAUAUGUGUAAGUAACUGUGCACAUCUUGACGGUACCUAAUCAGAAAGCCACGGCUAACUACGUG
This 497-nucleotide ribosomal RNA is filed under the name uncultured bacterium. RNAcentral's name for it is "partial 16S ribosomal RNA". It matches the Rfam family "Bacterial small subunit ribosomal RNA", at positions 28 to 507 of the family's 1533-position model. The record is from RNAcentral.